CACGCUGAAACAACAAAUCCCGUACGAUCACCGAAGUUAAGCAACGUCGAACCUGACCAAUAGCUCGAUGGGUAACCGCUUGGUAAUACCAGGUGCUGUAAG
Molecule: non-coding RNA, 102 nt
Organism: Acanthosepion pharaonis
Lineage: Eukaryota; Metazoa; Mollusca; Cephalopoda; Sepiida; Sepiidae
Source: the annotation of a GenBank genome assembly